CGUAGGGUGCAGGCGUUAAUCGGAAUUACUGGGCGUAAAGCGUGCGCAGGCGGUCUCUUAAGACAGGUGUGAAAUCCCCGGGCUUAACCUGGGAACUGCGCUUGUAACUGAGAGGCUAGAGUGUGGCAGAGGGGGGUGGAAUUCCACGUGUAGCAGUGAAAUGCGUAGAGAUGUGGAGGAACACCGAUGGCGAAGGCAGCCCCCUGGGCUAACACUGACGCUCAUGCACGAAAGCGUGGGGAGCAAACAGGAUUAGAUACCCAGGUAGUCCACGCCCUAAACUAUGUCAACUGGUUGUCGGGGAAGCAAUUCCUUGGUAACGAAGCUAACGCGUGAAGUUGACCGCCUGGGGAGUACGGCCGCAAGGUUA
RNAcentral lists this ribosomal RNA (370 nucleotides) under uncultured organism. RNAcentral describes it as "bacterial SSU rRNA". It matches the Rfam family "Bacterial small subunit ribosomal RNA", at positions 526 to 896 of the family's 1533-position model. The record is from RNAcentral.